This is a long non-coding RNA of Homo sapiens (human), 1332 nucleotides long. RefSeq lists it as uncharacterized. Lineage: Eukaryota; Metazoa; Chordata; Mammalia; Primates; Hominidae. The record is from RefSeq and is a predicted model, not a curated record. The transcript is spliced from 2 exons.
ACUCCCUCCACUGCGCCCCGCUCACACUCCCGCACCCUCCCCACACUGCGCCCUGCCCACACUCCUGCACUCUCUCCCCACUACGCCCCCUACCACAUCCCGCGCCCCCGCCCCCAUCCCCACUGCGCCCCGCCCACACUCCCGCGCCCUCGCGCCCCUGGGCUCUCCCGUCGUGGGCACUCUCCCCAGCGCUUCUACACUUUCUCCCGACGCAGCGCCCUGCCCUCCGUCCCGCCCCACCUAUUGCCUCCUGCGCUUCCCCCACACCGUGCUCUUCCUCCUCCUUCACUUCCUCCCACUCCUCGCGCUCCCCUUCAGCGCCCCACGCAGCCCCUCCCCCAAAACCCCGCGUCGCUCUCCUUCCCUCCUGGCCUCUCUUCCAGUCUCGCGCUCCCUGCCGGGCCCCGCCGCAGGUGUCCCGCAGCCGUCUCCCCAGGGCAUUUGAAUCUUGCCUUGGAGCUCUUGCCGCGCGGCCCAGCACCCUGGAAGAGGCAUCAGGGAGGAUGGGACGACGAGGAAGGGGAAGGUUAUGAAGGGCUGUGACACCUUGCUUGGCUUCUAGUCUUGACAUAGACUAAAAGGCAGAAGGUUUCCAGAGCUCACGCUGGAUGGCUGGGCAGAUGAGGUCUUCAGAGACUCUCCAGGGAGGUACGGCUCUGCCUUUCUACUCAGUAUGCAAGCUCCCCAGACUUCUGAAGAGGGAUGUUUCUCCUUAGAGAAAGUCUCCCUGAAUGUGGGUAUUUCAUAAGUUCUUGGACCAGUUCUGCUCUUCUCAGUCCUGCUUUUUGUCAACAUACAUUGAAUCACUUCUCCCUGGCAAAAGAGCAGCAUGUGAAGAAAAUGUGAUCCUUGGUGGUUUGACAUGAAAUUGACUUUUUCUUCUAGCAACACUUAUGAAUAUUCAAAUACAAUUAUGGAAAAGAUUUUUUGCACUGAUCAGCAUAACAAACAAAUUAGACAUCCCAGUGUGCAAAUAUAACUUUCUGAAUUUCCUAGUUUUAAAUAUUCCAGUGGCCAGGAUACCCUAUCCAGAGGAAGCAGGACCGUCUCAGCUGACCAGGGCCCUUGCCUGCUAAUAGCAUCAUGCAUACCUUGUUUCUUCAUGAGGCUGCUUGCCCGAGUUCCAAUCCACCAGGAAUUCAUCUUGUAUCAUAGCUGAUGGAUCCCGUGUCUCGUUUCUAAGUUGGAGCAUCACUUUGCAGCUCCCAACCAGGGCCAGCCACAAAAUUUGAAAGGCCCAGUGCAAAAUAAAAAUGCAGAGCCCCUUGUUCAAAAAGCAGGAAAAGAAUGGGCCAGCAAAGGAACUAAAAUAAACGAAAGCUUUUCCCUUUC